AAAGGGAGACCUAAUUCGGGUAGGAGACGAAAAAAAAGUAGUCCCUACCAAGAAUCAAUCCCAAAAGGUCGGAGCGAGGCGAAAUUGGCUUUCAAACUAGGUUCUGGGUUCACACAAGACCUGAAUCAGGAACAAGGGCUAUUAGCUCAGGUGGUUAGAGCGCACCCCUGAUAAGGGUGAGGUCCCUGGUUCGAGUCCAGGAUGGCCCACCUGCACAGGUGGAAGAAAGAAAAGAAGCUCCGAAUCAGCACCUUAUCUUACUUAUAUAGUAAGAGAGAAUGCUGGCUCUGAGUUCAGAGUCCAGAGGAACCUUGAAAACUGCAUAGAGCUAGGUGAAAAAGCCAAAAAAGAAGACCGUCAG
RNAcentral lists this transfer RNA (361 nucleotides) under uncultured Microcystis sp. RNAcentral's name for it is "partial 16S-23S ribosomal RNA intergenic spacer". The stretch from base 136 to 209 matches the Rfam family "tRNA". The record is from RNAcentral. Lineage: Bacteria; Bacillati; Cyanobacteriota; Cyanophyceae; Chroococcales; Microcystaceae.